This 253-nucleotide ribosomal RNA is filed under the name uncultured bacterium. Its description in RNAcentral is "partial 16S ribosomal RNA". It matches the Rfam family "Bacterial small subunit ribosomal RNA", at positions 524 to 776 of the family's 1533-position model. The record is from RNAcentral.
UACAGAGGUCUCAAGCGUUGUUCGGAUUCAUUGGGCGUAAAGGGUGCGUAGGCGGCGCGGUAGGUCGGGUGUGAAAUCUCGGGGCUUAACUCCGAAACUGCAUUCGAUACUGCCGUGCUUGAGGACUGGAGAGGAGACUGGAAUUUACGGUGUAGCGGUGAAAUGCGUAGAUAUCGUAAGGAAGACCAGUGGCGAAGGCGGGUCUCUGGACAGUUCCUGACGCUGAGGCACGAAGGUCAGGGGAGCAAACGGG